This 72-nucleotide transfer RNA is filed under the name Riemerella anatipestifer. RNAcentral's name for it is "tRNA-Ile". It matches the Rfam family "tRNA". From Rfam's summary of the family: Transfer RNA (tRNA) molecules are approximately 80 nucleotides in length. Their secondary structure includes four short double-helical elements and three loops (D, anti-codon, and T loops). Lineage: Bacteria; Pseudomonadati; Bacteroidota; Flavobacteriia; Flavobacteriales; Weeksellaceae. The record is from RNAcentral.
AGUCUCGUAGCUCAGCUGGUUAGAGCGCUACACUGAUAAUGUAGAGGUCGGCAGUUCAGGCCUGCGAGACUA